CCUACGGGAGGCAGCAGUGAGGAAUAUUGGUCAAUGGACGAGAGUCUGAACCAGCCAAGUAGCGUGAAGGAUGACUGCCCUAUGGGUUUUAAACUUCUUUUAUAUGGGAAUAAAACAGGUUAUGCAUACCCUCUUGUAUGUACCAUAUGCAUAAGGAUCGGCUAACUCCGUGCCAGCAGCCGCGGUAAUACGGAGGGUCCGGGCGUUAUCCGGAUUUAUUGGGUUUAAAGGGAGCGUAGGUGGAUUGUUAAGUUAGUUGUGAAAGUUUGCGGCUCAACCGUAAAUUGCAGUUGAAACUGGCAGGCUUGAGUACCGUAGAGGUGGGCAGAAUGCGUGGUGUAGCGGUGAAAUGCUUAGAGAUCACGAAGAACUCCGAUUGCGAAGGCAGCUCACUGGACUGCAACUGACACUGAUGCUCGAAAGUGUGGGUAUCAAACAGGAUUAGAUACCCCGGUAGUC
Molecule: ribosomal RNA, 459 nt
Filed under: uncultured bacterium
Lineage: Bacteria
Description: partial 16S ribosomal RNA
Rfam family: Bacterial small subunit ribosomal RNA
Source: RNAcentral